Molecule: ribosomal RNA, 253 nt
Filed under: uncultured bacterium
Lineage: Bacteria
Description: partial 16S ribosomal RNA
Rfam family: Bacterial small subunit ribosomal RNA
Source: RNAcentral
UACGUAGGGGGCAAGCGUUGUCCGGAUUUAUUGGGCGUAAAGAGCGUGUAGGCGGCCAGACAGGUCCGUUGUGAAAACUAGAGGCUUAACCUCUAGACGUCGAUGGAAACCGUCUGGCUAGAGUCCGGAAGAGGAGGAUGGAAUUCCUGGUGUAGCGGUGAAAUGCGCAGAUAUCAGGAAGAACACCCGUGGCUAAGGCGGUUCUCUAGUACGGUACUGACGCUGAGACGCGAAAGCGUGGGGAGCGAACAGG